UUCGGGGUACUCGAGCGGCGAACGGGUGAGUAACACGUGAGCAACCUGCCCUAGGCUUUGGGAUAACCCCGGGAAACCGGGGCUAAUACCGAAUAGGACCACUGGUCGCAUGUCCGGUGGUGGAAAGUUUUUCGGCCUGGGAUGGGCUCGCGGCCUAUCAGCUUGUUGGUGGGGUGAUGGCCUACCAAGGCGACGACGGGUAGCCGGCCUGAGAGGGCGACCGGCCACACUGGGACUGAGACACGGCCCAGACUCCUACGGGAGGCAGCAGUGGGGAAUAUUGCACAAUGGGCGGAAGCCUGAUGCAGCGACGCCGCGUGAGGGAUGACGGCCUUCGGGUUGUAAACCUCUUUCAGCAGGGACGAAGCGCGAGUGACGGUACCUGCAGAAGAAGCGCCGGCCAACUACGUGCCAGCAGCCGCGGUAAGACGUAGGGCGCGAGCGUUGUCCGGAUUUAUUGGGCGUAAAGAGCUCGUAGGCGGCUUGUCGCGUCGACUGUGAAAACCCGCGGCUCAACCGCGGGCCUGCAGUCGAUACGGGCAGGCUAGAGUUCGGUAGGGGAGACUGGAAUUCCUGGUGUAGCGGUGAAAUGCGCAGAUAUCAGGAGGAACACCGGUGGCGAAGGCGGGUCUCUGGGCCGAUACUGACGCUGAGGAGCGAAAGCGUGGGGAGCGAACAGGAUUAGAUACCCUGGUAGUCCACGCUGUAAACGUUGGGCGCUAGGUGUGGGGGGCCUCUCCGGUUCCCUGUGCCGCAGCUAACGCAUUAAGCGCCCCGCCUGGGGAGUAC
This 789-nucleotide ribosomal RNA is filed under the name Micromonospora sp. Its description in RNAcentral is "bacterial SSU rRNA". It matches the Rfam family "Bacterial small subunit ribosomal RNA", at positions 81 to 883 of the family's 1533-position model. The record is from RNAcentral. Lineage: Bacteria; Bacillati; Actinomycetota; Actinomycetes; Micromonosporales; Micromonosporaceae.